UGCGUUGUGGUUCGCUUGGACCACCUCUCACAAGCGGUCUCGGACCGGUUGUUUUCAGCACCAGAGUACGAUUACUGCGUUCACAACCGCGCAAAUGAACCACACCAUAGUUUGAUUAAAACUGACUAAAUGUUGGUUUGUGAAAGCGCCCUUAGAAACACCUUACAAUAUAAUGCAAUCCAAUAAAACAACAGCACAAAAGACAGCAGCAGGACUAUUGGAUUGUGUGACAAUAUACAGGGGUUUCCGUUCUUUUAAUCUAUAACAUUUAAAUGUUUCAAAUUCAUUCAGCAUCUCUCAAAUUCACCAAUAAAUCUUCACAGGUAGGCAGGCAUC
Sebastes umbrosus (honeycomb rockfish) is the source of this 336-nucleotide long non-coding RNA. RefSeq lists it as uncharacterized. The record is from RefSeq and is a predicted model, not a curated record. The transcript is spliced from 4 exons. Lineage: Eukaryota; Metazoa; Chordata; Actinopteri; Perciformes; Sebastidae.